UAGCACCAUUAGAAAUCGGUUA
Molecule: non-coding RNA, 22 nt
Filed under: Petromyzon marinus (sea lamprey)
Lineage: Eukaryota; Metazoa; Chordata; Hyperoartia; Petromyzontiformes; Petromyzontidae
Also listed under: 1 other name
Gene: pma-miR-29b
Source: miRBase by way of RNAcentral